AGCCGAAACGCCCGCGAGGGCGUCGCCGGGGGGAGCCCUACCCGGCCUGACGAUGGCAGGGCACA
Firmicutes bacterium ASF500 is the source of this 65-nucleotide non-coding RNA. The record is from Rfam. Lineage: Bacteria; Bacillati; Bacillota.